UUGUUUGCAGAAGCCUCAGCAAACGCAGCAUCCUUAUCAUCUUCCAUGUUUGUAGCAGCCUAGCUUUACAGGGCUUAAAAAACUUGAAAAAAGGCUAGAAAACGGGUCCCAAACUUGUUAAAAUCAAUCUUAAAGAAUAUGCUGAACUUCCAUAAAUACUUAUAUAAAACAAAUGAACAUAGAAGUUUAAAGCUUUAAGCGCCGCACAUUAAAUGAUUAAGAGCGCGAUUAGAUUGUUGUUAACGCAGCGCCAUCUUGGCCGGAAGUCCCGUGUCCGUUCUUGCAGCGCCGCAAAAAGUCGAACACAACAUCCGUCAGAUGCAGUGCCAUCAUUCUCCAUCAGAGGGCAUUCCCUCCUGGACAUUCUACCCAUUCAACACUACAUCUCCUAUAAACCUUUGCAUGGACUCGUUUACUCUGAUCCUUCAAACCUGUUGCUCAUUUACCUUAUUAGCUCUGCCAUCAUUAUACAGUUGCUCACUAUUCCAUGGAGUCUAUCUGGUUCUUGGUUAUGUAACCACCCAAUGAUACAAGGUUAUUUCUUGUUUAUGGAUGGAUGGAUAACAUGUGUUUUGACCUUUACCUAUUUAAUGGACUUUAUAGUCGGAUUACCUCAGGUUUUGUAGAUUAUACCUUCGAUAUUGCGUUUUGGAUCCGCCAUCGUGUCUGGCCUGCCUCACAGUAACAGACGGGGAACUCCACUGUGCUAAUGAUGUUGCGCACGUGCUCUAUCUGCAAUUUAAAAGGAGCCAUUUCGGACAAGGUCUCACAUUCACAUGUGCGGACCUCUGAUGGGAGAAAGAAAAACACUCCUGGAAAUCCUCCGCUACCAACUGGAGGCCAUCCUGCACCUCAGAGACUCCAAUGACCUGGAUCUCUUCAGAAACUGGUUUGGCAUCAAGAACCUAUAUUUAAUGGAACAACAUAAAUGUCUGAGGUGUGUGAUGGUCACAUCCGUUUCUAUUUGAAGAUCGGCUAAAGCCUCGUCCCGCCACAAGGACAUGGCAAUGCUCUUGCUACCACAUUUGAGGGUUACGUAUUCUCCAGAUGAAUACAUCUCUGGUUCGGUCCCAGUGAAAAGCUUUGAGGGUGGAACCAGGGCUUCAUCACCGAGCUUUUGGAACUCUUCAGAAAUUGUUGUGGAUGACCCCUUGAAUAAU
Misgurnus anguillicaudatus (oriental weatherfish) is the source of this 1160-nucleotide non-coding RNA. NCBI's taxonomy places the organism in Eukaryota, Metazoa, Chordata, Actinopteri, Cypriniformes, Cobitidae. The record is from RefSeq and is a predicted model, not a curated record.